AAAGAUUUAUCGGCAAAGGAUCGGCCCGCGUUGGAUUAGGUAGUUGGUGGGGUAAUGGCCUACCAAGCCGACGAUCCAUAGCUGGUUUGAGAGGAUGAUCAGCCACACUGGGACUGAGACACGGCCCAGACUCCUACGGGAGGCAGCAGUGGGGAAUCUUAGACAAUGGGCGCAAGCCUGAUCUAGCCAUGCCGCGUGAGCGAUGAAGGCCUUAGGGUUGUAAAG
Molecule: ribosomal RNA, 225 nt
Filed under: Aeromonas salmonicida subsp. salmonicida 01-B526
Lineage: Bacteria; Pseudomonadati; Pseudomonadota; Gammaproteobacteria; Aeromonadales; Aeromonadaceae
Description: partial 16S ribosomal RNA
Rfam family: Bacterial small subunit ribosomal RNA
Source: RNAcentral